UGCCCUAGUAACGGCGAGUGAAGCGGCAACAGCUCAAAUUUGAAAUCUGGCGUCUUUGGCGUCCGAGUUGUAAUUUGCAGAGGGCGCUUUGGCAUUGGCAGCGGUCCAAGUUCCUUGGAACAGGACGUCACAGAGGGUGAGAAUCCCGUACGUGGUCGCUAGCCUUUACCGUGUAAAGCCCCUUCGACGAGUCGAGUUGUUUGGGAAUGCAGCUCUAAAUGGGAGGUAAAUUUCUUCUAAAGCUAAAUACUGGCCAGAGACCGAUAGCGCACAAGUAGAGUGAUCGAAAGAUGAAAAGCACUUUGGAAAGAGAGUUAAAAAGCACGUGAAAUUGUUGAAAGGGAAGCGCUUGCAGCCAGACUUGCCUGUAGUUGCUCAUCCGGGUUUUUACCCGGUGCACUCUUCUACGGGCAGGCCAGCAUCAGUUUGGGCGGUUGGAUAAAGGUCUCUGUCAUGUACCUCCUCUCGGGGAGAACUUAUAGGGGAGACGACAUGCAACCAGCCCGGACUGAGGUCCGCGCAUCUGCUAGGAUGCUGGCGUAAUGGCUGUAAGCGGCCCGUCUUGAAACACGGACCAAGGAGUCUAACAUCUAUGCGAGUGUUUGGGUGUCAAGCCCGAGCGCGUAAUGAAAGUGAACGGAGGUGGGAACCUUUCGGGGUGCACCAUCGACCGAUCCUGAUGUCUUCGGAUGGAUUUGAGUAAGAGCAUAGCUGUUGGGACCCGAAAGAUGGUGAACUAUGCUUGAAUAGGGUGAAGCCAGAGGAAACUCUGGUGGAGGCUCGCAGCGGUUCUGACGUG
RNAcentral lists this ribosomal RNA (799 nucleotides) under Epicoccum thailandicum. Its description in RNAcentral is "LSU rRNA". It matches the Rfam family "Eukaryotic large subunit ribosomal RNA", at positions 76 to 893 of the family's 3401-position model. The record is from RNAcentral. Lineage: Eukaryota; Fungi; Ascomycota; Dothideomycetes; Pleosporales; Didymellaceae.